Molecule: non-coding RNA, 30 nt
Filed under: Mus musculus (house mouse)
Lineage: Eukaryota; Metazoa; Chordata; Mammalia; Rodentia; Muridae
Source: RNAcentral
UCCAACAGUGCGGUUGCCUGGCUCUCCUGU